CGCUGCUGCUCAGCUUCUGCAGUCUGCUGCAGUCGCUACUCUAGUAAUGGCUUUUAUAUGUAUUAUCUGAGUGUUAAAUUCAUAUUUUGAGUGAGUUUGUGUUGUGGGAUGACGAUUGAGAACGAAUAAACGUGAAUAUGGACACUUCUACCAGCAGCUAACAGACAAGCAAACUGCAAAAGAGAGGACCUGAAAGCAUGAUCCUUGGACAUUUGGAGAAGAACACUGUAUGCAAAACAGGAUUUUGGAUCAGCUGUGAAGAUUUUGUAUGGAGCUGAAGUUUUGGAAAUGAAAAUCUUCUACCAUAUGAUCUUCAGAGGAACUAAUCCAGCUGAUUACUGGCAAUUUGGAGGAGGACUGCUCUUUAUCUGCUGUGUCUGUCACUUCUGGCCAUGGACAUUUUCUUGUAUGUUUUGGUUUUACUUAUUACACUAAUAUAGCUAUUAGUUUUUAACUAUAUGUAGAAUUAAAAUACAUAUGUUUUUCUACAUAUAUUACCAGAGCUACUGUGGUCCCCAAAAUUAUUAGAACACUAUUUAUUUUAUACCAGUUAAAAAAUGGUUUUAAGUCAGUUAUUUCUAUCUUUUGCUGUAGUGUGUCAGUAGGAAAUAUCAGUUUACAUUUCCAAGCAUUCAUUUUGCCCUUAAUUGUAAUUUUUUGAGAUUUUUGUUUGCACAAGGAGUCUGACAACAGCCAGUGCUCCACACAGAGAUCUGAUCUCAUCGUCUAAAUCCAGAAGAACUGUGGCAGCGUCUCCAAGAUGCUUCAAGAAACCUACCUGCAAAGCUAAAAGUUUUAGGCACUUGUGUAAAAAUUCUGUUAAAUGAGGAUGUUGUCAAAAAUAAUGCCAUAAAUAAAUUUUCUUUAUCAAUUAACUUUUAUAACUAAAUUAAAUCAACAUUUAGUGUGACCAUCCUUUGCGUUUAAAGCAGCUUUUGCUCUAGGUGCACGUGUGGUUAGUUUUUCAGGUAACUUUUCAGGUAGGUUUCUUGAAGCGUCUUGGAGACGUUGCCACAGUUCUUCUGGAUUUAGUCUGUCUCAGUUUGUUCGGUUUCUUCAUGCCAUUCCAGACAGACUGAUGAUGAUCAGAUCAGAUCUCUGUGUGAAGCACUUGUUGUCGUCAG
Long non-coding RNA from Onychostoma macrolepis, 1124 nucleotides. RefSeq lists it as uncharacterized. The transcript has 4 exons. The record is from RefSeq and is a predicted model, not a curated record. NCBI's taxonomy places the organism in Eukaryota, Metazoa, Chordata, Actinopteri, Cypriniformes, Cyprinidae.